RNAcentral lists this long non-coding RNA (1969 nucleotides) under Durio zibethinus. RNAcentral describes it as "long non-coding RNA (DZIB_LNC001955)". The record is from RNAcentral. Lineage: Eukaryota; Viridiplantae; Streptophyta; Magnoliopsida; Malvales; Malvaceae.
UUCAUAUUUUAUUUUUUUAUUUUUUUGAAGUUUUGAAAAUUUCAUAUUUUUCUCUUUUCAAUUUUUUGUAAUUUUGAAGGUUUUUAACUUUUUUCAAUUUUUGGGAUCUUCUUUUAAUUUUCAAACUUUUUAGAUUUUUUAUUAAAAAUUUCAGUUAUUAUUUUUCUAAUCUUUUUUGGAUUUUUUAAUUUUUCUUUUUUUUCUUUUUUUUUUUAAAUUUUCAUAUUUUUAGGAAAAAUUUUUACUUUUUUAUUUUUUUGGAUUUUUUAAAGUUUUCUAAAUGUUUUUGAAUUAAAAAAAAUUUCAUAUAAUUUUUAGUUUUUAAUUUUUUGUAUUUUGUAUAUUUUUUGAAUUUUUUAAAUGCUGACGUGCCACCAUUGAAAUUCUUUUUUAAGUAUUGAUGAGUACUAACUGGGAACCUCAAGCAACAUAAAACGACAGACACGUGCCAAUAUAAAAAAAAACCAAACGCGACGAUUUGAGGCAGCAGCAACCAUUGAAAUCUUGGUCUUCAUUAGAUACUCAGUCACCUAAUUCACGUAAAGUAUGAGAGAAAUUCAAGCAAGUCACAACUUUAAAAAUAUAAAAUUAAAAAGCACAGUAAGAUUUGUUUUUUAAAAAGAAGAUAUAUAUUAUAUAUAAUAAUACUCUUAGUUUGCAUAUUUUGUUUUAUUUUACUUAAAGUUGGGUUGGGAACGUGGAGAGCUAUAGUGAGUUUGGCUACCUUGUCAAACUCUUGGUUGUUGUUGCUUUCAAGAUUUGAAACAUGAAAGCAAGGUGGAUUUGCGUGUUCAAACUUUGUUUCAUCAAAAGGUUAGUCUCCUUUGCAAGUUUCCUUUUUUUUUGUUUUUUUCUAUUACUUGUCUUUGCCCCCUCUUUCAUCUUUUUCUUUUUUUUUUUUUCCUUCACUUAUUUCUUUCAUAUGGAUCUUAGCCUUUUCAUCUGACUGUUUAGAUUUUUCUACGUAAGAACUAAGCAACUUUUGGGUUUCAUCGUUUUUACAUAACAACAUCAAAUAAUAUUUACUAUUAUCUUGCCACUAAAGAAAAAUAUCAAAUAGUAAUAAUAACUUCAAAGAAAAGGCUGAAAAUCUAAACAAUCACAUGAAAAGGCUGAAAAAGAUCGGACAUGAGGAAAUAAGUGAGGAAUAAAAAAGAAAAGAUGAAAGAGGGGCAAAGACAAGUCAGAAAAUUUUGGAACCGGGAAAGGAGACUAACCUUAUACUAAAGCAAAGUUUGAACACCCAAAUCCGCCUUACUUUUAUGUUCCAAAUCUUGAAAGCAGGAAAACAACCAAGAGUUCGACAAGGCAGCCAAACUCACUUGCACCCUCUGGUACUUCUCUUCACAGUUGAUCAUUUUGAGAAGAAUUUUUCUCCGUCGUUGCCAUUAAAUAGACAAUGAGUAACAUCAUGCAACAUCAUUGCAAUAUUUAUAUUAUUAUCUUUCUUUUUCACAUUGGGCAAACUACACUUACCCAGUUUCAUUUUACUCACUUUUCAGUUGAAAAAUAUUUUUUUGGGGGAUUUGGUCAAAAAGACAUUAAUUCUUUGAGAUGUUAUUUAUUAAGUUAAUUUUAAUUGAAAAGAUAUACCUUUUAUUAAAUAUUAUUUUCUAUUUAUUUAUUUAUUUUUCUUUGUUUGUUCUUUUUAUCCAAGAUUUCUUUUUGACUACAAAAUAAUGAGUUAAUUAGUUUUAAGUUUUUUUGAAUUGAAUUCUAUUUAAUUAUAUUCUAACUUAAGUACAUGUUAAAUAUUUUAAAUUUACUUUAUUUCAAUUAUAUAUUAAUUUUGAGAUGACUAUAUUAUGUUAUUUUUAUUAUUUUCAGAAAAAAAAAAGUCAUGGAUGAUACUUAUAUUUUGUUUUUUCUUCCCUUUUACUUUCCCUUCUUUUUCAUUUUUUUAAUUAGUUUUUUAUCAUUAUUUAUUUAAAUGUAAUUAAUUUAUUAACUAAAGAUAAUUUAACAAAUU